RNAcentral lists this non-coding RNA (45 nucleotides) under Schistosoma margrebowiei. The record is from RNAcentral. Lineage: Eukaryota; Metazoa; Platyhelminthes; Trematoda; Strigeidida; Schistosomatidae.
AUCCAGCUGACGAGUCUCAAUUAGGAUGAAACGCUCGUCAUAGAU